RNAcentral lists this long non-coding RNA (448 nucleotides) under Nicotiana tabacum (common tobacco). Its description in RNAcentral is "long non-coding RNA (NTAB_LNC008876)". Lineage: Eukaryota; Viridiplantae; Streptophyta; Magnoliopsida; Solanales; Solanaceae. The record is from RNAcentral.
CUAGUUGCUAGAGCUGUUGUAGAACUUUCAAGGCAAUAUUGUGUUGAUGAUGGUGGUUCAUGCCACUUAGGUUUCAAGGAUGAAAGGUUGGAACAUGGGCAAUCAUUUCCUGCCGAUGGUAAUGGUAAUUUUUUAUUGGCAGGCAAAAUUGGAACAUGAAAUUUAAGGAUGCUACCUCUGCUGCUCAUGCAGCGACUGAGUUUGCAAAACGUGCAAGCCAAGCUGCCAGAGCUGUUGGAGAACUUUCAAGGAAAUAUUGUGCUGAUGAUGGUGGUUCAUGCCACUUAGGUUUCAAGGAAAGGUUGAACAUGGGCAAGCAUUUCCUAGAGAUGGUAAUGGUAAUAUUUCUGUUAGCAGGUAGAAUUGGAACAUGAAAUUUAAGGAUGCAACCUCUACUACUCAAGCAGCGGCUGAGUUUGCAGAACAUGCAAGCCUAGCUGCCAGAGCU